Long non-coding RNA from Mercurialis annua (annual mercury), 921 nucleotides. RefSeq lists it as uncharacterized. NCBI's taxonomy places the organism in Eukaryota, Viridiplantae, Streptophyta, Magnoliopsida, Malpighiales, Euphorbiaceae. The transcript is spliced from 2 exons. The record is from RefSeq and is a predicted model, not a curated record.
GUAUUGGAAUAUUAUCUUUUUUGUAUGGUCUGGAAAUUGUGUGGUUGAUGAUGUGUGAAUGUUCCUUUCUCAUACUAGGCACAAGGCAGAGAGGUAUUUUUUUAGAGACAGUAAGACUAACACCAGCUUGCUCUUCCAUAUUCAUAUCAUCCGUCUGCAUUCCAUCACCUAAUUUCCAAUCAAAACAGUAAACCAAAUUCGCCAGCACAAGCUCAACCGUUAUCGUCCCCAAGUUCAUUCCGACGCACAUUCUUCUGCCAGCUCCAAACGGCAGAAACUCGAAAUCUUUUCCUUUGAAAUCAACGGAGUUCUCCGAAAACCUCUCGGGAAAAAACUCUUCAGGAUCCUUCCAGUACUUGGGAUCGCGUCCAAUUGCCCAGGCGUUCACUUGGAUCAUCGUUUUCGGGUUGAUAUCGAAGCCGUUGACUUUAAUAUGAGAAAGGGUUUCUCUUGGAAGAAGUAAAGGGGCUGCAGGAUGUAAUCUAAAAGUUUCUUUGACUACCAUUUUUAGGUAUACAAGCUGAUCAAUGUCAACUUCUGAGACUCUUCCUUUGUUUCCAAUGCAGUUUCUAACUUCGUCUUGUAAUUUCUUCAUCACUCUUGGAUUCUUAAUAAGCUCUGCCAUUGCCCAAUUUAUAGUAAUUGCAGAAGUGUCUAUGCCACCCAGAAAUAAGUUCUGACAAAAACAAAAUUACCAAAAUUGAGUACCUUAAUUCCUGAGUAACAUAUAUAGCAUGCUAGGCCUGAUUAUUUGGUCAGGUAUCAGACAGAUUUGGCACGCUUGAACUGAUCUCAUACAUUAAUUUUUGAGGAAAUUGGGGGUUAACUAUUUUUACGAAUACCCAAUUAUAAUAUGUUUAUAAAACGGUUACCGAAUUUUAAAAAAUAACAAUAGGCACAUCAAAUAAUUUAGUCUGAAAA